This 459-nucleotide ribosomal RNA is filed under the name uncultured bacterium. Its description in RNAcentral is "bacterial SSU rRNA". It matches the Rfam family "Bacterial small subunit ribosomal RNA", at positions 8 to 466 of the family's 1533-position model. The record is from RNAcentral.
AGAGUUUGAUCAUGGCUCAGAUUGAACGCUGGCGGCAGGCUUAACACAUGCAAGUCGAACGGUAACAGAACUAGCUUGCUAGUUGCUGACGAGUGGCGGACGGGUGAGUAACGCGUAGGAAUCUACCGAAUAGUGGGGGACAACAGUUGGAAACGGCUGCUAAUACCGCAUACGCCCUACGGGGGAAAGGAGGGGAUCUUCGGACCUUUCGCUAUUUGAUGAGCCUGCGUGAGAUUAGUUAGUUGGUGGGGUAAUGGCUCACCAAGGCGACGAUCUCUAGCUGGUCUAAGAGGAUGAUCAGCCACACUGGGACUGAGACACGGCCCAGACUCCUACGGNAGNCANCAGUGGGGAAUAUUGCACAAUGGGGGAAACCCUGAUGCAGCCAUGCCGCGUGUGUGAAGAAGGCCUUCGGGUUGUAAAGCACUUUCAGUUGUGAGGAAAGGUUAAGGGUUAAUA